RNAcentral lists this ribosomal RNA (701 nucleotides) under uncultured Verrucomicrobiota bacterium. RNAcentral's name for it is "bacterial SSU rRNA". It matches the Rfam family "Bacterial small subunit ribosomal RNA", at positions 56 to 749 of the family's 1533-position model. The record is from RNAcentral. Lineage: Bacteria; Pseudomonadati; Verrucomicrobiota.
UGCAAGUCGAACGAGAAACAUGAAUAGCUUGCUAAUUGUGUUUCUAGUGGCGGACGGGUUAGUAACACGUGAGCAACCUGCCUCGAGGUGGGGGAUAGCCACCCGAAAGGGUGAUUAAUACCGCAUGUGAUCUUCGGAUCAAAGGUGCCUUCGGGUAUCGCUUCGAGAUGGGCUCGCGGCCUAUCAGCUAGAUGGUGAGGUAACGGCUCACCAUGGCAACGACGGGUAGCUGUUCUGAGAGGAAGAUCAGCAACACUGGAACUGAGACACGGUCCAGACACCUACGGGUGGCAGCAGUCGAGAAUCAUUCACAAUGGGGGAAACCCUGAUGGUGCAACGCCGCGUGGAGGAUGAAGGCCCUAGGGUCGUAAACUCCUGUCAUAUGAGAGUAAGGCAUAAUAGGUUAAGAGCUAAUUAUGUUUGAUAGUAUCAUAAGAGGAAGGGACGGCUAACUUCGUGCCAGCAGCCGCGGUAAUACGAAGGUCCCGAGCGUUAUUCGGAAUCACUGGGCGUAAAGAGUACGUAGGCGGUCAGGUAAGUCAGGUGUGAAAUCCCGGGGCUCAACCCCGGAACUGCAUCCGAUACUGCUUGACUGGAGUCAUGGAGGGGCAGGUGGAAUUCUCGGUGUAGCAGUGAAAUGCGUGGAUAUCGAGAGGAAGACCAAUGGCGAAGCCAGCCUGCUGGACAUAGACUGACGCUGA